GUCGAGGGGAAACGAUAUUGGAAGCUUGCUUCCGAUAGGCGUCGACCGCCGUACGGGUGAGUAACGCGUAUCCAACCUGCCCACCACUUGGGGAUAACCUUGCGAAAGUAAGACUAAUACCCAAUGAUAUCUCUAGAAGACAUCUGAAAGAGAUUAAAGAUUUAUCGGUGAUGGAUGGGGAUGCGUCUGAUUAGCUUGUUGGCGGGGUAACGGCCCACCAAGGCAACGAUCAGUAGGGGUUCUGAGAGGAAGGUCCCCCACAUUGGAACUGAGACACGGUCCAAACUCCUACGGGAGGCAGCAGUGAGGAAUAUUGGUCAAUGGACGAGAGUCUGAACCAGCCAAGUAGCGUGCAGGAAGACGGCCCUAUGGGUUGUAAACUGCUUUUAUAAGGGAAUAAAGUGAGAGUCGUGACUCUUUUUGCAUGUACCUUAUGAAUAAGGACCGGCUAAUUCCGUGCCAGCAGCCGCGGUAAUACGGAAGGUCCGGGCGUUAUCCGGAUUUAUUGGGUUUAAAGGGAGCGUAGGCCGGAGAUUAAGCGUGUUGUGAAAUGUAGAUGCUCAACAUCUGAACUGCAGCGCGAACUGGUUUCCUUGAGUACGCACAAAGUGGGCGGAAUUCGUGGUGUAGCGGUGAAAUGCUUAGAUAUCACGAAGAACUCCGAUUGCGAAGGCAGCUCACUGGAGCGCAACUGACGCUGAAGCUCGAAAGUGCGGGUAUCGAACAGGAUUAGAUACCCUGGUAGUCCGCACGGUAAAC
RNAcentral lists this ribosomal RNA (759 nucleotides) under uncultured bacterium. RNAcentral describes it as "bacterial SSU rRNA". It matches the Rfam family "Bacterial small subunit ribosomal RNA", at positions 61 to 807 of the family's 1533-position model. The record is from RNAcentral.